GCCUGCGCGGAAGAUGUAACGGGGCUAAACCAUGCACCGAAGCUGCGGCAGCGACGUUUAGGCGUUGUUGGGUAGGGGAGCGUUCUGUAAGCCGUUGAAGGUGACCUGUGAGGGUUGCUGGAGGUAUCAGAAGUGCGAAUGCUGACAUAAGUAACGAUAAUGCGGGUGAAAAACCCGCACGCCGGAAGACCAAGGGUUCCUGUCCAACGUUAAUCGGGGCAGGGUGAGUCGACCCCUAAGGCGAGGCUGAAAAGCGUAGUCGAUGGGAAACAGGUUAAUAUUCCUGUACUUGGUGUUACUGCGAAGGGGGGACGGAGAAGGCUAGGCUGGCCGGGCGACGGUUGUCCCGGUUUAAGCGUGUAGGGGGAGUGACCAGGUAAAUCCGGUUGCUUAUCAACCCUGAGGCGUGAUGACGAUGCACCACGGUGCAGAAGCAGUUGAUGCCAUGCUUCCAGGAAAAGCCUCUAAGCAUCAGGUAACAUUAAAUCGUACCCCAAACCGACACAGGUGGUCAGGUAGAGAAUACUCAGGCGCUUGAGAGAACUCGGGUGAAGGAACUAGGCAAAAUGGUGCCGUAACUUCGGGAGAAGGCACGCUGGCGUUAGGUGAAAGGACUAGCUCCUGGAGCUGAAGCCAGUCGCAGAUACCAGCUGGCUGCAACUGUUUAAUAAAAACACAGCACUGUGCAAACACGAAAGUGGACGUAUACGGUGUGACGCCUGCCCGGUGCUGGAAGGUUAAUUGAUGGGGUCAGCCGCAAGGCGAAGCUCUUGAUCGAAGCCCCAGUAAACGGCGGCCGUAACUAUAACGGUCCUAAGGUAGCGAAAUUCCUUGUCGGGUAAGUUCCGACCUGCACGAAUGGCGUAAUGAUGGCCAGGCUGUCUCCACCCGAGACUCAGUGAAAUUGAACUCGCUGUGAAGAUGCAGUGUACCCGCGGCAAGACGGAAAGACCCCGUGAACCUUUACUAUAGCUUGACACUGAACAUUGAGCCUUGAUGUGUAGGAUAGGUGGGAGGCCUUGAAGUGUGGACGCCAGUCUGCAUGGAGCCAACCUUGAAAUACCACCCUUUAAUGUUUGAUGUUCUAACUCGGCCCCAUGAUCUGGGGUGAGGACAGUGUCUGGUGGGUAGUUUGACUGGGGCGGUCUCCUCCCAAAGAGUAACGGAGGAGCACGAAGGUUAGCUAAUCACGGUCGGACAUCGUGAGGUUAGUGCAAAGGCAUAAGCUAGCUUGACUGCGAGAGUGACGGCUCGAGCAGGUACGAAAGUAGGUCUUAGUGAUCCGGUGGUUCUGAAUGGAAGGGCCAUCGCUCAACGGAUAAAAGGUACUCCGGGGAUAACAGGCUGAUACCGCCCAAGAGUUCAUAUCGACGGCGGUGUUUGGCACCUCGAUGUCGGCUCAUCACAUCCUGGGGCUGAAGUAGGUCCCAAGGGUAUGGCUGUUCGCCAUUUAAAGUGGUACGCGAGCUGGGUUUAGAACGUCGUGAGACAGUUCGGUCCCUAUCUGCCGUGGGCGUUGGAAGAUUGAGAGGGGCUGCUCCUAGUACGAGAGGACCGGAGUGGACGAAUCACUGGUGUUCGGGUUGUCAUGCCAAUGGCAUUGCCCGGUAGCUAAAUUCGGAAGAGAUAACCGCUGAAAGCAUCUAAGCGGGAAACUUGCCUCGAGAUGAGUCUUCCCUGGGACUUAAAGUCCCCUGAAGGAACGUUAAAGACUAUGACGUUGAUAGGCUGGGUGUGUAAGUGCAGCGAUGUAUUGAGCUAACCAGUACUAAUGAUCCGUGAGGCUUAACCUUACAACACCGAAGGUGUUU
Molecule: ribosomal RNA, 1811 nt
Filed under: Yersinia pestis
Lineage: Bacteria; Pseudomonadati; Pseudomonadota; Gammaproteobacteria; Enterobacterales; Yersiniaceae
Description: partial 23S ribosomal RNA
Rfam family: Bacterial large subunit ribosomal RNA
Source: RNAcentral